GAUGAACGCUGGCGGCGUGCCUAAUACAUGCCAGUCGAGCGAACGGACGAGAAGCUUGCUUCUCUGAUGUUAGCGGCGGACGGGUGAGUAACACGUGGAUAACCUACCUAUAAGACUGGGAUAACUUCGGGAAACCGUAGCUAAUACCGGAUAAUAUUUUGAACCGCAUGGUUCAAAAGUGAAAGACGGUCUUGCUGUCACUUAUAGAUGGAUCCGCGCUGCAUUAGCUAGUUGGUAAGGUAACGGCUUACCAAGGCAACGAUGCAUAGCCGACCUGAGAGGGUGAUCGGCCACACUGGAACUGAGACACGGUCCAGACUCCUACGGGAGGCAGCAGUAGGGAAUCUUCCGCAAUGGGCGAAAGCCUGACGGAGCAACGCCGCGUGAGUGAUGAAGGUCCUCGGAUCGUAAAACUCUGUUAUUAGGGAAGAACGUAUGUGUAAGUAACUGUGCACAUCUUGACGGUACCUAAUCAGAAAGCCACGGCUAACUACGUG
RNAcentral lists this ribosomal RNA (497 nucleotides) under uncultured bacterium. RNAcentral describes it as "partial 16S ribosomal RNA". It matches the Rfam family "Bacterial small subunit ribosomal RNA", at positions 28 to 507 of the family's 1533-position model. The record is from RNAcentral.